Molecule: transfer RNA, 70 nt
Filed under: Mindarus keteleerifoliae
Lineage: Eukaryota; Metazoa; Arthropoda; Insecta; Hemiptera; Mindaridae
Description: tRNA-Phe
Source: RNAcentral
AUUUAAAUAGCUUAAAAUUUUAGAGCCAUUAUAUUGAAAAUAUAAGGGUAAUUUUAUUAAUUUUUAAAUA